GAUGAACGCUGGCGGCGUGCCUAAUACAUGCAAGUCGAGCGAACAGACGAGGAGCUUGCUCCUCUGACGUUAGCGGCGGACGGGUGAGUAACACGUGGAUAACCUACCUAUAAGACUGGGAUAACUUCGGGAAACCGGAGCUAAUACCGGAUAAUAUAUUGAACCGCAUGGUUCAAUAGUGAAAGACGGUUUUGCUGUCACUUAUCGAUGGAUCCGCGCCGCAUUAGCUAGUUGGUAAGGUAACGGCUUACCAAGGCGACGAUGCGUAGCCGACCUGAGAGGGUGAUCGGCCACACUGGAACUGAGACACGGUCCAGACUCCUACGGGAGGCAGCAGUAGGGAAUCUUCCGCAAUGGGCGAAAGCCUGACGGAGCAACGCCGCGUGAGUGAUGAAGGUCUUCGGAUCGUAAAACUCUGUUAUUAGGGAAGAACAAAUGUGUAAGUAACUAUGCACGUCUUGACGGUACCUAAUCAGAAAGCCACGGCUAACUACGUG
Molecule: ribosomal RNA, 497 nt
Filed under: uncultured bacterium
Lineage: Bacteria
Description: partial 16S ribosomal RNA
Rfam family: Bacterial small subunit ribosomal RNA
Source: RNAcentral